Molecule: ribosomal RNA, 306 nt
Filed under: uncultured bacterium
Lineage: Bacteria
Description: partial 16S ribosomal RNA
Rfam family: Bacterial small subunit ribosomal RNA
Source: RNAcentral
GACAGCAGCAGCCGCGGUAAUACAGAGGGUGCGAGCGUUAAUCGGAUUUACUGGGCGUAAAGCGUGCGUAGGCGGCUUUUUAAGUCGGAUGUGAAAUCCCUGAGCUUAACUUAGGAAUUGCAUUCGAUACUGGGAAGCUAGAGUAUGGGAGAGGAUGGUAGAAUUCCAGGUGUAGCGGUGAAAUGCGUAGAGAUCUGGAGGAAUACCGAUGGCGAAGGCAGCCAUCUGGCCUAAUACUGACGCUGAGGUACGAAAGCAUGGGGAGCAAACAGGAUUAGAUACCCCUGUAGUCCCUGUCUCUUAUAA